Acanthosepion pharaonis is the source of this 112-nucleotide non-coding RNA. The record is from the annotation of a GenBank genome assembly. Lineage: Eukaryota; Metazoa; Mollusca; Cephalopoda; Sepiida; Sepiidae.
CUGCCACAUCAUUAUUGAAACACCAGUUCCCAUACGAUCACCAAAGUUAAGCAAUGUCGAACAUGGUCAGUACUGAGAUGUGUGACUGCUUGGGAAUACCAGGUGCUGUAAG